This 352-nucleotide unclassified non-coding RNA is filed under the name plant metagenome. Its description in RNAcentral is "partial contains 5.8S ribosomal RNA, internal transcribed spacer 2, and large subunit ribosomal RNA". The stretch from base 1 to 106 matches the Rfam family "5.8S ribosomal RNA", at positions 49 to 154 of the family's 154-position model. The record is from RNAcentral.
UGAAUUGCGAUAAGUAAUGUGAAUUGCAGAAUCUCGUGAAUCAUCGAAUCUUUGAACGCACAUUGCGCCCUAUGGUAUUCCGUAGGGCAUGCCUGUCUGAGCGUCAGCAUCACCCUCCCAAGUGGUAUUAUUGCAUUUGGGGACUCAUUGGAUAAGAAGGUUUAAGUCCCCUAUGGGUGCAUUCUUCUGUCCAGAAAACUAUAGGCAGUAUUGGUUUGUUCUCCUAUACUGGGCGUAAUAAUUGGUUUUAUUCUCGUCUAGAAAAGGUUGAAUAAGUGCUUGCCUUGAACCCACAAAUUUAUCUUAACUGGGUUGACCUCAGAUCAGGUAGGGAUACCCGCUGAACUUAAGC